RNAcentral lists this ribosomal RNA (431 nucleotides) under uncultured bacterium. Its description in RNAcentral is "partial 16S ribosomal RNA". It matches the Rfam family "Bacterial small subunit ribosomal RNA", at positions 29 to 505 of the family's 1533-position model. The record is from RNAcentral.
AACGAACGCUGGCGGCAUGCCUAACACAUGCAAGUCGAACGAGACCUUCGGGUCUAGUGGCGCACGGGUGCGUAACGCGUGGGAACCUGCCCUUAGGUUCGGAAUAACUCCCCGAAAGGGGUGCUAAUACCGGAUAAUGUCUUCGGGCCAAAGAUUUAUCGCCUUUGGAUGGGCCCGCGUUGGAUUAGCUAGUUGGUAGGGUAAAAGCCUACCAAGGCGACGAUCCAUAGCUGGUCUGAGAGGAUGAUCAGCCACACUGGGACUGAGACACGGCCCAGACUCCUACGGGAGGCAGCAGUGGGGAAUAUUGGACAAUGGGCGAAAGCCUGAUCCAGCAAUGCCGCGUGAGUGAUGAAGGCCUUAGGGUUGUAAAGCUCUUUUACCCGGGAUGAUAAUGACAGUACCGGGAGAAUAAGCUCCGGCUAACUCCG